CUACGGGAGGCAGCAGUGGGGAAUUUUCCAGGGCUAGCGCGAAGCUGACGGAGCAUGCCGCGUGGAGGUGGAAGGCCCACGGGUCGUCAACUUCUUUUCUCGGAGAAGAAACAAUGACGGUAUCUGAGGAAUAAGCAUCGGCUAACUCUGUGCCAGCAGCCGCGGUAAUA
RNAcentral lists this ribosomal RNA (170 nucleotides) under uncultured bacterium. RNAcentral describes it as "partial 16S ribosomal RNA". It matches the Rfam family "Bacterial small subunit ribosomal RNA", at positions 339 to 525 of the family's 1533-position model. The record is from RNAcentral.